This 575-nucleotide ribosomal RNA is filed under the name uncultured bacterium. RNAcentral describes it as "partial 16S ribosomal RNA". It matches the Rfam family "Bacterial small subunit ribosomal RNA", at positions 355 to 923 of the family's 1533-position model. The record is from RNAcentral.
UGGGGAAUUUUGGACAAUGGGCGAAAGCCUGAUCCAGCAAUGCCGCGUGUGUGAAGAAGGCCUUCGGGUUGUAAAGCACUUUUGUCCGGAAAGAAAUCCUUGGCUCUAAUACAGUCGGGGGAUGACGGUACCGGAAGAAUAAGCACCGGCUAACUACGUGCCAGCAGCCGCGGUAAUACGUAGGGUGCAAGCGUUAAUCGGAAUUACUGGGCGUAAAGCGUGCGCAGGCGGUUUGCUAAGACCGAUGUGAAAUUCCCGGGCUCAACCUGGGAACUGCAUUGGUGACUGGCAGGCUAGAGUAUGGCAGAGGGGGGUAGAAUUCCACGUNUAGCAGUGAAAUGCGUAGAGAUGUGGAGGAAUACCGAUGGCGAAGGCAGCCCCCUGGGCCAAUACUGACGCUCAUGCACGAAAGCGUGGGGAGCAAACAGGAUUAGAUACCCUGGUAGUCCACGCCCUAAACGAUGUCAACUAGUUGUUGGGGAUUCAUUUCCUUAGUAACGUAGCUAACGCGUGAAGUUGACCGCCUGGGGAGUACGGUCGCAAGAUUAAAACUUAAAUGAAUUGACGGGGUCAUA